AAGAAGCCAGUUACCCGCAACUAGACGGAAAGACCCCAUGGAGCUUUACUGUAGCUUAAUACUGGAAUUCGGUAAAUCAUGUACAGGAUAGGUGGGAGGCUUGGAAGCCUGGGCGUCAGCUCAGGUGGAGCCAUCCUUGGGAUACCACCCUUGAUUUGCUGGGUUUCUAACCUGCGGCCGUGAAUCCGGUCGGGGGACACUGUUAGGUGGGCAGUUUG
RNAcentral lists this ribosomal RNA (218 nucleotides) under Pseudoflavonifractor phocaeensis. RNAcentral's name for it is "partial 23S ribosomal RNA". It matches the Rfam family "Bacterial large subunit ribosomal RNA", at positions 2056 to 2272 of the family's 2925-position model. The record is from RNAcentral. Lineage: Bacteria; Bacillati; Bacillota; Clostridia; Eubacteriales; Oscillospiraceae.